This 253-nucleotide ribosomal RNA is filed under the name uncultured bacterium. RNAcentral describes it as "partial 16S ribosomal RNA". It matches the Rfam family "Bacterial small subunit ribosomal RNA", at positions 524 to 776 of the family's 1533-position model. The record is from RNAcentral.
UACGUAGGGUGCGAGCGUUAAUCGGAAUUACUGGGCGUAAAGCGUGCGCAGGCGGUUUUGUAAGCCAGAUGUGAAAUCCCCGGGCUUAACCUGGGAAUGGCAUUUGGGACUGCAAGGCUCGAGUGCGGCAGAGGAGACUGGAAUUCCUGGUGUAGCAGUGAAAUGCGUAGAUAUCAGGAGGAACACCGAUGGCGAAGGCAGGUCUCUGGGCUGACACGGACGCUCAUGCACGAAAGCGUGGGGAGCAAACAGG